RNAcentral lists this ribosomal RNA (482 nucleotides) under uncultured bacterium. Its description in RNAcentral is "partial 16S ribosomal RNA". It matches the Rfam family "Bacterial small subunit ribosomal RNA", at positions 30 to 507 of the family's 1533-position model. The record is from RNAcentral.
AUUGAACGCUGGCGGCAUGCUUUACACAUGCAAGUCGAACGGUAACAGGCCGAGAGGUGCUUCCUACGGGCGGACGGGUGCGGAAGGCUUCGGAACGCACCCGGACGUAGGGUUUAACUACGCGAAACGGUAGCUAAUACCGGCUACGAUCUCAGAAUGCAUGCGGGGGACCGCAGGGGCUCUCGCGAUUGGAGGCGCCGAUGUCAGAUUAGGUAGUUGGUGGGGUAAAGGCGCACCAAGGCAACGAUCUGUAGCUGGUCUGAGAGGAUGAUCAGCCACACUGGAACUGAGACACGGCCCAGACUCCUACGGGAGGCAGCAGUGGGGAAUAUUGGACAAUGGGCGCAAGCCUGAUCCAGCAAUGCCGCGUGCAUGAAGAAGGCCUUCGGGUUGUAAACUGCUUUUGUACGGAAAGAAACGCCGCUGGUUAAUACCCGGGUCUAAUGACGGUACCGAAAGAAUAAGCACCGGCUAACUACGUG